UGGCAUGGGCGGCGGCGGCAGCUAUUCGAAGUUGUAGUGCUUGUCGACGGCCUCGGCGACGUCCCAGGUGCAGCUCAUGCCCUUGGGGAAGACGACCAGGUCCCCCGCGGCGAUCUCCACGAACUCCUCCCCGUGGCCCUCCGGGUACACCUUCACCUUCCCCUGCAGAAGGUAGCACGUCUCCUUGGCCGAGUAGGUCCACGGGAACUUGCUCUUCUCGCACCCCCACCUGGUCCAUUCGUCCAUUCACCAGCAGACCGCCGUCAGAAAGGGCCGCAGGCACAGUGGAGUAAGCAGCAAGGGGCGCCGGCACAGUGGAGCGGGGGGAGAUGAGAGAUUGAGAUGCCCGGGGAGGGCGGGUUCGGG
RNAcentral lists this long non-coding RNA (366 nucleotides) under Panicum hallii. RNAcentral describes it as "long non-coding RNA (PHAL_LNC000726)". Lineage: Eukaryota; Viridiplantae; Streptophyta; Magnoliopsida; Poales; Poaceae. The record is from RNAcentral.